RNAcentral lists this ribosomal RNA (460 nucleotides) under uncultured bacterium. Its description in RNAcentral is "partial 16S ribosomal RNA". It matches the Rfam family "Bacterial small subunit ribosomal RNA", at positions 338 to 795 of the family's 1533-position model. The record is from RNAcentral.
CCUACGGGCGGCAGCAGUGAGGAAUAUUGGUCAAUGGGCUUACGCCUGAACCAGCCAAGUCGCGUGAGGGAAGACUGCCCUAUGGGUUGUAAACCUCUUUUGUCAGGGAGCAACGCCUGCUACGUGUAGCCGGACUGAGAGUACCUGAAGAAAAAGCAUCGGCUAACUCCGUGCCAGCAGCCGCGGUAAUACGGAGGAUGCGAGCGUUAUCCGGAUUUAUUGGGUUUAAGGGGUGCGUAGGCGGAAUGCCAAGUCAGCGGUAAAAGCGCGGGGCUCAACCUCGCUCCGCCGUUGAAACUGGCGUUCUUGAGUGGGCGAGAGGUAUGCGGAAUGCGUGGUGUAGCGGUGAAAUGCAUAGAUAUCACGCAGAACUCCGAUUGCGAAGGCAGCAUACCGGCGCCCAACUGACGCUGAAGCACGAAAGCGUGGGUAUCGAACAGGAUUAGAUACCCUUGUAGUC